Molecule: long non-coding RNA, 564 nt
Filed under: Gallus gallus (chicken)
Lineage: Eukaryota; Metazoa; Chordata; Aves; Galliformes; Phasianidae
Description: lncRNA (ENSGALG00010007286.1)
Source: RNAcentral
GAGACCUUAUUGCUCUCUUCCAAUAUCUGAAAGGUGCUUACAGCGAGAGUGGGGUUGGUCUCUUCUCACUGGUGACAGGAUGAGGGGAAAUGGCCUCAAGUUGCACCAGGGGAGGUUUAGGUUGGAUAUCAGGAAAAACUUCUUUACAGAAAAGGUUGUUAAGCACUGGAAUAGGCUGCCCAGGGAGGUGGUUGAGUCACCAUCCCUGGAUGUGUUUAAAAACCGUUUGGAUGUGGUGCUCAGGGACAUGAUUUAGCGGAGGGUUGUUAGAGUCAGGGUAGUAUGGUUAGGUUGUGGUUGGACUUCAUGAUCUUUGAGGUCUUCUCCAGCCUGAGCAAUUCUAUGAUUCUAUGGAUGGGGCUUUGAGCAACCUGGUCAGGUGGGAGGUGUCCCUGCCUAUAGCAGGCGGGUUGGAGCUAGAUGAUCUUAAAGGACCUAUCAAACCCAAACCAUUCUAUGAUCUAUGAUGUUAUGAUUCUAUGAUUCUUUCCUCCAACGCUGGCCUUUUCUUACCCUGCCUCUGGCUUCUUCCCAUAAAAAAGAGUAGCCUCUUGUUGUGUCAUA